This 6504-nucleotide long non-coding RNA is filed under the name Oryza sativa (Asian cultivated rice). Its description in RNAcentral is "long non-coding RNA (OSAT_LNC000840)". Lineage: Eukaryota; Viridiplantae; Streptophyta; Magnoliopsida; Poales; Poaceae. The record is from RNAcentral.
AGGACAAGAAGAGCGGGAGCAAAGCGCCGGCGGUGGUGCUAGGAUUCGAGUGCUUGGAGAGCACAGCGUUCAACGGCAUUGCCACGAACCUGGUGGUGUACCUGGAGACCGUCCUGCACGGCAGCAGCCUCGCGAGCGCGUCCAAUGUCACGACGUGGUUCGGCACGAGCUACCUCACGCCGGUGUUCGGCGCCAUCAUCGCCGACACGUUCUUCGGCAACUACAACACCAUCCUCGUCUCCCUCGUGUUCUACCUCCUGGGCAUGGUGCUGGUCACCUUCUCGGCGUUCCUGCCGACCACCGCGCUGUGCGCCGUGGCGGGCUCGACGUCGUGCCAGCAGCCUGUGUUUGGCGCGCAGACCAUCGCCUUCGUGGGGCUCUACCUCGUGGCGUUCGGCAGCGGCGGCGUGCGCGCGGCGCUGCUGCCGUUCGGCGCGGAGCAGUUCGACGACGACAACGCGGUGGACCGGGAGCGGAAGAUGUCCUUCUUCAGCUGGUUCUACAUGUGCGUCGACUUCGGGAUGAUCGUGUCGGGCCUAUUCAUCGUGUGGAUCCAGCAGAACGUGAGCUGGGGACUCGGCUUCGGCAUCGCCACGGUUUGCGUCGCGAUCGCGUUCGGCGGCUUCGUGCUCGCCACGCCCAUGUACAAGCGCAGCAUGCCCACCGGCACGCCGCUCAAGAGCCUCGCCCAGGUGGUGGUCGCCGCGUGCCGGAAGGUCAGCCUCCGUGUCCCCGCCGACGCCGCCCUCCUCUACGAGGUCCAUGACAAGAUCGAUCAGCCCAAGAUCACGCACACCGACGAGUUCAGCUUUCUUGACAAGGCGGCGGUGAUCGUGCAGUCCGACCUGGAAGAGGACUCGAACGACGCCUCGGCGGCGGCCGCGGGCUCGUGGAGGCUAUGCACGGUGACGCAGGUGGAGGAGCUCAAGAUCCUGAUGCGGCUGCUGCCGAUAUGGGCGACGAGCAUCGUGCUGUCGGCGGCGUACGCGCAGCUGAACACCACGUUCGUGCAGCAGGGCGCCGCGAUGAACAUGCGGAUCAUGUCGUUCACCAUCCCCGCCGCGUCGAUGGUGUCCUUCGAGGUGUUCUGCGUCCUGGCAUGGGUGCUCGUCUACGGCUCGGUGAUCGUGCCGCUCCUCAGGAGCUUCUCCCCGGCCAACGGCGAGCCGUCGCAGCUGCGGCGCAUGGGCGCCGGCCGUCUGCUCAUCGCGGUCGCCAUGGCCAUCGCCGCGCUGGUGGAGAUGGUGCGCCUCGACGCGGCGGCGCGCGGCGAGUCCCUGAGCAUCGCGUGGCAGAUGCCGCAGUACUUCAUGCUGGCCGGCGGUGAGGUGUUCUGCUACAUCGCGCAGCUGGAGUUCUUCUACAGCGAGGCGCCGGAGUCCAUGAAGAGCAUCUGCACGUCGCUGGCGCUGCUCACCGUGGCGCUGGGAAGCUACAUGAGCUCCUUCAUCUACGCCGUCGUGAACGCGUUCACCGCCGUGGACGGCCGGCCCGGGUGGAUUUCGGACAACCUCAACGAGGGACACCUGGACUACUUCUUCUGGGUCAUGUCGGCGCUGUGCACGCUCAACUUCGUCGUGUACAGCGCGUUCGCGCGGAACUACAAGGUGAAGACGGUCGUGUCAUGAUCGCUCGCCCACACGUCCGCGCGUACAUAGGCAAAACAAGGUAGCGUUAGGAACGGGGUGCGUCCAGGAAAUACACGGGACACGUCCGGUGCACCUGCGAAACGGUUUUUGUAUCGCAGCGACCAAUAUCUUCUGGCUGCUGCUGAUCGACGCCAUCGUGUUCCUUGUUGUUUAUUGUUUCUUUCUUUUUGUCGGUUUUACUGGAAAGGAAAUACGGAUGGGCAACAGGACAUCCAUGAACUUUAUUUAUGCUGUGGUCCUGAAAGAAAAAACAGAAGGAAAUGCAAUGUGGAAACAUGGUGUGACCGUGUGAGUGAUACCGCACAUUUCAUGGUAGUACUCUGCAACAGUUAUGGCCGUUGGUGAUCAAAUCUCUAUGGGCCGUUUGUAAAUCUCGACCAUAAAUCAAAACUCUUAAAUUUAUGGGCCAUUUGUAAACUUGCCAACGCUAGGACCCAGAAUGCGCUGUCGAGAGUCCAGAGCCCAGCCUUGGCCGCAGUGAUGAAUAAAUGGGCCAUAUCUGGACCGGCAUCAUCGAAGUGUAUCUACAGCCAGGAAAAGGCCCAUUUGGCUCCCUCAAAUAUAUGAGUCAUAUACACGGUAAAAUUUACAACAAAAUAGUCAAAGUUCACAUUAUUUGCUAUAGGACACCGUAAAAACAUGAUAAUUAGUUACUAGACACGAACAGAUUAUUUUAUUAUAUCCGUUGCAAGUACAGAUAGAGAAACUUUUUAAAAUGAUAAGUUUGUCCAUAGGGCUUAUUUAUUUUUAACCCGAGCAGAUCUAGUUCAAACCGGACCCAUACUAAGAGAGUGAGAAUGGACUGGAUUGGGAGAGUCAGAAUGGUCUGGUCUGAUUUGAAUCAGACCCAAUCACCUUACAAACAGAUCAACACAUGAGUAAUUUACUACUUUCCACGCUGUUACUCUCCGCGUUUGUACCGGAUGUAAUGAAAUCCGUGUUUUCAUUGUGUCCUUUAACAAAUACUCCCUCCGUCCCAUAAUAUAAGUGAUUUUGAGUUUUUGUUUGCAUUAUUUGACCACUCGUCUUAUUUAAAAAAUUUGUGCAAAUAUAAAAAACGAAAAGUUGUGCUUAAAGUACUUUGGAUAAUAAAGUAAGUCAAAAAAAUAAAUAAUAAUUCUAAAUUUUUUUAAUAAGACGAGUGGUCAAAUAGCGUAAGUAAAAACUAUAAAUCCCUUAUAUUAUGGGACGGAGGGAGUACGUGUUUUUAAUGUCCAGUAACAAAUACCACAAAUUUUAAAUGUACUAUAGUAAAUUUUGCCAAACUAAUAAAUAUACAUGUCAUAUAGUGAUUUGCAUCGUCGGGACUUCUUUCUUAUGAAGCUACCUUAUGAUUUUCAGUUCUGACGAGCAGGAGCUUGGGACACGGAGACAAGCUUUUGACAGCUAAAACUUAAUUAAUUACUUGAGAUUUAGGGUUAUCUCCUAAAUUUCUGUUAGAUUCUGACAAGAUACAGUGAAUAUUUUGAAGUACAAAAUGUAUAAGCAAGUUCACUAUAGUAUUGAACAGCCCAUUGUUUCGUUAAUUUGGGGAAUAAGCGAAACGGCUUAUUUGUAAAUAAAAAAUAAUUUAUAAAUAAAAUUUUUAUAUCGUGUUCUUAGCGAUUUAAAAAUAAAGGUUGAAAAAUAAACUUCGAUGAAAAAAAUCUCAAAAUUAACUCUAAAUUUAAAUUUUAGCCGAUAAGUAUAAGCAUAAUCUGCUCCUGCUUGGGAGGAUCAUGAUGUACUACUUUGAUUGCGUCAAUUUUACUCCUUCCGCUUGAGCAAACGGCGAUGAUAAAUUUAUUUCACAGCCCUCGCAGCCAUGCAUCAACACGUAAUUAAGUACUAGUUGACAGUGAAAGAAAACGUAGUUAAUUGCGUCGACAUACUGUAGAACUGUCAGCUCCUAUAUAAGUAGAACCACCCACCCCCAUUAAGUUAUCCACUGUCUUAUUCUGUCCACGUCAUUAAACAAAGCCACAAAAAGGCCUUCGCGGCCUCUUGCAUUUCUGCAGGUCGCGGAGCGGGUGCACCGAAAUUUCCCGUCUCGCGUCGCGAACUAACUUAAAUAUAACCAUCACUUGCUAAUACUUUAUCCAAUUAUCUAGUAGUUCUUGCGUUCUCUCGUGAGAAUCUCAUCGCGUGAUGAUUUCGGGCAGUGGACCGGUGUCGCGCAUGUGCGCGUUAAUAACCAUUUGAUAGCCACGAAUCAAUUAGAACAUGUACAAUAGCAGGCUAUAAACCAGCUAUAACCACAUAUCGAGAAGAAAAGAGAAGAGAGAAGAAAGCGGACUAUAGAUUUAUAGCCGGCUGCAACACGGACUCCAAUACGUUAUGAGUAUAUAAGAGAUAGGACCGAAUAUUAAUGAUGUAGUAUAUUUUUAUAGAUAACUAUUAUAUAAAUGGGCUAUUAGAUUGACUAUAAAUGAUUUGGAGCCCAGUUGGCUAUACUAUUGAACUUGCUCUUAACAAGUACUACAACUGCAGCGUUUGAACCGAUCUCGCCUCGCUCUAAUAACACUUCAUCUUCCGAGUUCCGAUUGUCCGGGGUUGGUGAGUUGGUCUGUUGGUGGCCGGGGCGCGGGCGCGCUUACCUGUUCUCCCUCGCGUGGAGCUCUUUGACUACGCCCGCCAGCUGCGCGUGUGUAUAACCUUGCUUGCUUGCCUCUCACAGCCGAAGUCGCAGGCGCAGUCAGGAGCUAUCGGGAAAACGGGAUUUCCCCCAGCUUUCCAAGGUUCGCGGGUCAAUCUCGCAGUGAUACUCCGGCGGCGGCAAUGGACGCCGGCGAAAUCAUCGUGGCCCAGCCAUCGCCGCGGCUGUAUAAGGUAUGUGAAACUUCAUGAGCGAGCUCGCCGUCGACCCAAGCUUAGGGAGAUAUAGGGAUUGAUAUUAUCGGUGCAGCAGUGCGUGAUUAGUUGUUUAGUUUAGCUUGCUUCUUAAUUUGAGGGCUUUCAUUUGGAGUUUAUAAUCUGAUUGUUUGGAUUGCUUUUGUGCAGAGUUUGACUUUCCGGAGGAUCGCGACGAAGGAAAGGACCAUUCCCCAGGAUGAAGAGAUGAAGGUAAGCACCUCUUGAUCACGUUUGAACUCGUCCUCUGUUGUUAAUUAGUCAUUAACUUGCGUAGUUGUAGUCCGUAGUAAUAGAAAAACUUGGCGGGCGGGGUGCGAUGUGUGAUGAUCUGCUGCAAGAACUGAGAAAUUUUUGCGUCAAAAAGGAACUGAGAAAUUUUUGGAUAAUGGAUCACAUAACUCGUCUUCUAAACUCUAAUAAAUGGAUGUAUACGACCAUUUUGUGCAUUCGUUUUAGUAAAAAAAGCAGCUACACAUUGUUUUCUUGUUUUUGCUAGUACUUUAAUAUAGUAUACAUGCUAUAUUGUUGGUUUAUUACGGAUUCCAUUUUUCAGGUGUCCUAUGGUAAUAAUUUUCGCAAGUGUUUUUUUUUGAAUUCAUCACUGCAGACAACAAGAAAUAUGAUUUAAUGGUCAAAUUGAUUACCCUGCAAAUUGUGUUGUGACAAUAAAAUGAUAUUCUCAAUUUCAAGAGGCCAGCAUGCAAUUUCUACUAUCAUAAAAUAGUGAAAUUAAUUGACCGUAUCAAGAACUGUACACAACUGUUAGGUUUUUCAAGUUAUUGUACUAGACCGUAUCCACCUGCCAGAUUUUUGUUCUAAAAGCGUAAUUUAUUUUAUAUUAAGCUAUUAUCAAUAUCUCGAUGCAAAUGUGUGUUCUUUUUUAUUAAAAGAUUCUUUCACUAGGGAAAAACGUCCGGCCAAUCAAUUUGUCCCAGCAUAGUCGCCCUAUGGGCUAUUUUUAUAGGCCUUAGGCAGCCGUACGCCCUGUUGAAAAAAAAAAAGACUCCCAGCUCAAACCCAGCCCAAAACAUCUGUUAAUUUGGUUUUACAUGUAAAAUCAUUGGGAGCCCGUAGAUUCAGAAACAAAGGUCUCAAAUUGGAUAUUUUUCUUAAUUUUUAUAUUAUUUCAUAUUAUUUCUAAAAGAUUAAAAAAUAAAUUACAGUUUUAAAGUUUUGCAAAAAUUUACUCCUCCCGCCCUACCGUAGAGCGAUAUAUGUGACAUGGCAAUCCAGGGAGGGGGUGCCGUGGCAAUUUUGCAUAAAUCGCCCUCCCCUAGGACGAUUUAUUCUUGAGAAGGAGCCAUCUAUAAAAUUGUCAUGACGCAAAAUUUAGUGAUGCAUCGGGUGCGUUAUGGCAAUUUUACAAGGCUCCCACCCGAGGAGAAAUCGCCUUCCUGUAAAGUGAUUUAUCUUUCAAGGGGGCCACCUACAAAUUGUCACGGUAUACCUCCCACGGGGUGCCAUGCCACAUAGAUUGUCCUAUUGUAAGGUGAUUUAUAAGUCCACUUUUCGAUAUGUAAAAUUUUAAAAUGAUAAUUUAUUUUUUAAUUUUUUUUAAAAAAAUAAACAAAUCCUCAAAUUGUGCAAUCUUUUGAGGCCUUAUUUCGUUGCAAACUUUUUCUUCAAACUUCUAACUUUUCUAUCACAUCAAAACUUUUUUACACACGUAAACUUUCAACUUUUCUAUCACAUUGUUUUAAUUUUAACCAAACUUUCAAUUUUAACGUAAACUAGACACAUCCUGACUUCGUUCGCAGAUUCGCAGCCCGAGGUUCCAGGACGAAAGCCUCACUGCGCCAUUUAUACUAGACAAGAAAGCGAGGAGCAAAGCGCCAACAGUGGUCCUAGGAUUCGAGUGCUUGGAGAGCACAGCAUUUAACGGCAUUGCCACGAACCUGGUGGUGUACCUGGAGACUCUCCUGCACGGCAGCAAUCUCGCGAGCGCGUCCAAUGUCACGACGUGGUUCGGGACGAGCUACCUCACCCCGGUGUUCGGCGCCAUCAUCGCCGACACGUUCUGGGG